Long non-coding RNA from Myotis brandtii (Brandt's bat), 2525 nucleotides. RefSeq lists it as uncharacterized. The transcript is spliced from 2 exons. NCBI's taxonomy places the organism in Eukaryota, Metazoa, Chordata, Mammalia, Chiroptera, Vespertilionidae. The record is from RefSeq and is a predicted model, not a curated record.
UUUAUUCCAAUAUGGGAGAGCAGCAGGUCAUCCACAAAAAUCUGCUACCUCCCCCCAUAAGCCAGCUGCUUGUAUUGGGUAGAAGGGCAAAGAUUACGUGGGAAAGUAAGAAUGACAGGCCUGGGGAAGCAGGCAAGGUCUCAUGGUUACAGGCAAGAGGGCUGGGGGCUGCAAAGAGCGGUGUCUCCGGGACUAGGUUGGUUCAGCCAGGAGGCUGUAAAUCUUUCCAUAGUGAUCGAAGUUCUCGGGAAAGGAGGAUGGCCUGCCUUCCCAUGCCAGCUCCCAUGUCCCAGGGCAAACAGCUCUCAGCCAGGUUGGAAUGUGCUUUCUCUAAUCGGAACAGAACUAUUAUGGUAAACAGAGCAUGAUUCGUAUUUCUUAUCAUUGUAGCUAGUCCCCCCUAUUCCACUCUGCCCCUAACAGAAAGCAUUGAACUAGGAGGGAAGGCCAGGAAGCCCCUCUUCGGCCAUUUGGUGCUCUUGUGAUCAUUACAAAUUAGCCACAGGCCACAGGUGUGCUGUAACCGCUGCUUACCAGCACCUGAGUCUGUAAAAGGGAGACGAAACCACUUCACAGAGUUGCUGGACCAAUUAUGUGAGCGAGUGCCUGGCUGUGUCCUCUACCCGGAAUUAUUGUUUCUCACUACUCCACCGCUCAGAGUUUGGGUAGGGUGGGGCCAAUAACCCAGUCUUCUUUUUAGACGUGGUGGUGGCCUCAGGAGGUUCUGGCUGUGACAGGGCUGUGACCCAGUGAGUGUCAGGAUGGAGCCCCGUCUGGCAGACCACUCAGUGGCCUGGGCCUGGCUCGCCCUCACCCAGUGAAGUGGAGAACCUGGGGGCAGGGCUGGAAUGGCCUGGGUGUGCUUGGGUGGUGGGGUGAGUGCAGUCACCAAGGGCGACAGGCAGCUGCGCAGGCCCUGGGCCCCCACUCACCACGGGAGGAAGGCAUUCGGGAAGUGAUCUCAGCCACUCAGACAUCUUGGAGCCUGGGCCCAGGCUGGACCAAGGCGGCAGCACCAGGGUUGGGCAUGCCGUGACCUGGCUCCCGGGGUGGCCGCCAGGUCAGGAGACCAUGGAACCACAUACAGUCAGAGCUGUUGUUCCAGACAAGCCCAGGGCGUCGCCAGAGGGCUGUUGGCAAGGCUCCCCGUGAGCAGCCUUCUGCCCCCUCCUCCCAGCUCCUCCGAGUUCGGGAGACUUGAGCGCACAUCUUUCAGGUCAGCGUUUCUUCAGAGACGCCCAGUGGAGUUGACCGCAGCUCUCAGAAGCCUGGACAGGCUUAGGAAACAGUGACAGAGGCCGGAGCAGUGCCAUGCAGAGCGCCCCACGGUCUCAAGGGGGCACGACCCAGGACCCCACACCAGUAUCUUCUUAGAAGACCGCAGGGACCCGCCCGGCUGGAAGAGCCACCAAGAGCCCCGGUUCGGUUCUGAUGGGGAGCUAAGGCUUCCAGCUGCACCCCGGUUGCUCAGUGCGCCAGCUGCCACCAGGGCCAUGGAGACGGCGGUGAUUGGCAUGGUGGCCGUGCUGUUUGUGGUCACCGUGGCCAUCACCUGCAUCCUCUGCUGCUUCAGCUGUGAAUCGAAGGCCCCGGAUCCUCAGCGGGGUCCUGGCCACAGCUUCACAGUGGCCACAUUUCACCAGGAGGCUUCUCUCUUCACGGGGCCAGCUCGCCAUGCCCAGGCAGUGGCGGGUGCCCGGGACUUCUGGACCUUCAUGUGAGGCCUCACAGCCCCCAGGAUUUGCUUUGCUGGUGGGUCAGACUCACCCCCCAACAAGCCUUCCCUGAUGUCCCACUCCUCCACGUCUGGCAUUCCUGCCCUUCCCUGCCUGUGUCCAGCAAUCUCCCUGUUGCCUCCCAUCCCAGGUUGCUGUGCCCUGUGGCCCAGGAGAUCCACCCUGAUGGGACCCGGUGGAGUCAGCCCUGACCCCCAAGAGCUCCACUGGACCCCGCCCACAGGAUGGGGCUUCAGAGAGGUCUGAAGAGUGAGUGACCAAACAGUGUUGGAUUGCACGGUGGGCCAUCUCUUCUGAUCGACAGGGGAACUGGAAUCUAUCGGAAGCAGAUUCUGUUAACUCAGGUUUAUCCCAGGAUGCCUACAAACUGGUUCUGUUGCCACCAGAGGAAGCAGCGCCCUCAAGUGGACGCUUCAUACAAACCACUUCUUGCCUGCUCCCCUCGCUGAGCCUUUUUGCUACUUGCAUGUGCAGAUCCCACAGAGCCCAGCCUUGAGGCCAGCCCCUGCCAGUUGCCUGAAAUCAGCCCUGCCAUGCUGAAACCAAAGGGCUACGCGUGAUUUAUUUUAUAAUUGAAGAUGUAUAUCCUUUUAUGGGUCUCCCAAGAGUCGGGGUUGGAAAACCACAAAAGGAAGCAGAAGAGAAAACCAGAGUCACAGAAAGGAUGAGAGGUUUGUUAACAGGAAAGCCAGAAAGAAGACUUGGAAACCUAUUUUGAGAGAGACUUUAUUACUCUUUUCUUAGUGGUCACUUCUAUUCGUAGAGAAUGUGAGUGAUUUGAGCCCGGAA